GAGUUUGAUCCUGGCUCAGGAUGAACGCUAGCGGCAGGCUUAACACAUGCAAGUCGAGGGGCAUCGGGAGGGAAGCUUGCUUUCCUUGCCGGCGACCGGCGCACGGGUGAGUAACACGUAUGCAACCUGCCCUCUUCAGGGGGACAACCUUCCGAAAGGGAGGCUAAUCCCGCGUAUAUCGGUUUCGGGCAUCCGAGAUCGAGGAAAGAUUCAUCGGAAGAGGAUGGGCAUGCGGCGCAUUAGCUUGACGGCGGGGUAACGGCCCACCGUGGCGACGAUGCGUAGGGGUUCUGAGAGGAAGGUCCCCCACACUGGUACUGAGACACGGACCAGACUCCUACGGGAGGCAGCAGUGAGGAAUAUUGGUCAAUGGGAGAGAUCCUGAACCAGCCAAGCCGCGUGAGGGAAGACGGCCCUAUGGGUUGUAAACCUCUUUUGUCGGAGAACAAAACCCGGGACGUGUCCCGGACUGCGUGUAUCCGAAGAAAAAGCAUCGGCUAACUCCGUA
This 508-nucleotide ribosomal RNA is filed under the name uncultured Bacteroidales bacterium. Its description in RNAcentral is "bacterial SSU rRNA". It matches the Rfam family "Bacterial small subunit ribosomal RNA", at positions 9 to 507 of the family's 1533-position model. The record is from RNAcentral. Lineage: Bacteria; Pseudomonadati; Bacteroidota; Bacteroidia; Bacteroidales.